GACGAACGCUGGCGGCGUGCUUAACACAUGCAAGUCGAGCGGUAAGGCCCUUUCGGGGGUACACGAGCGGCGAACGGGUGAGUAACACGUGGGUGACCUGCCCUCAGCUCUGGGAUAAGCCUGGGAAACCGGGUCUAAUACUGGAUAUGACUCCAUGACGCAUGUUGUGGGGUGGAAAGCCUUGUGCGGCUGAGGAUGGGCCCGCGGCCUAUCAGCUUGUUGGUGGGGNGAUGGCCUACCAAGGCGACGACGGGUAGCCGGCCUGAGAGGGCGACCGGCCACACUGGGACUGAGACACGGCCCAGACUCCUACGGGAGGCAGCAGUGGGGAAUCUUGCGCAAUGGGCGAAAGCCUGACGCAGCGACGCCGCGUGAGGGAUGACGGCCUGG
RNAcentral lists this ribosomal RNA (390 nucleotides) under uncultured bacterium. Its description in RNAcentral is "bacterial SSU rRNA". It matches the Rfam family "Bacterial small subunit ribosomal RNA", at positions 28 to 419 of the family's 1533-position model. The record is from RNAcentral.